Molecule: ribosomal RNA, 128 nt
Filed under: Ophiostoma ips
Lineage: Eukaryota; Fungi; Ascomycota; Sordariomycetes; Ophiostomatales; Ophiostomataceae
Description: partial 5.8S ribosomal RNA
Rfam family: 5.8S ribosomal RNA
About the family: 5.8S ribosomal RNA (5.8S rRNA) is a component of the large subunit of the eukaryotic ribosome. It is transcribed by RNA polymerase I as part of the 45S precursor that also contains 18S and 28S rRNA.
Source: RNAcentral
GCAUCGAUGAAGAACGCAGCGAAGUGCGAUACGUAAUGCGAAUUGCAGAAUUCAGCGAGUCAUCGAAUCUUUGAACGCACAUUGCGCCCGCCAGCAUUCUGGCGGGCAUGCCUGUCCGAGCGUCAUUU